This 812-nucleotide ribosomal RNA is filed under the name uncultured bacterium. RNAcentral describes it as "bacterial SSU rRNA". It matches the Rfam family "Bacterial small subunit ribosomal RNA", at positions 636 to 1447 of the family's 1533-position model. The record is from RNAcentral.
UNUGACUUGAGUGCAGAAGGGGAGAGUGGAAUUCCAUGUGUAGCGGUGAAAUGCGUAGAUAUAUGGAGGAACACCAGUGGCGAAAGCGGCUCUCUGGUCUGUCACUGACGCUGAGGCUCGAAAGCGUGGGUAGCGAACAGGAUUGGAUACCCUGGUAGUCCACGCCGUAAACGAUGAGUGCUAGGUGUUAGGCCCUUUCCGGGGCUUAGUGCCGGAGCUAACGCAAUAAGCACUCCGCCUGGGGAGUACGACCGCAAGGUUGAAACUCAAAGGAAUUGACGGGGGCCCGCACAAGCGGUGGAGCAUGUGGUUUAAUUCGAAUCAACGCGAAGAACCUUACCAGGUCUUGACAUCCCGAUGCUAUUCUUAGAGAUAGGAAGUUACUUCGGUACAUCGGAGACAGGUGGUGCAUGGUUGUCGUCAGCUCGUGUCGUGAGAUGUUGGGUUAAGUCCCGCAACGAGCGCAACCCUUAUUGUUAGUUGCCAUCAUUAAGUUGGGCACUCUAGCGAGACUGCCGGUAAUAAGCCGGAGGAAGGUGGGGAUGACGUCAAAUCAUCAUGCCCCUUAUGACCUGGGCUACACACGUGCUAUAAUGGUCGGUACAACGAGUUGCGAGCCGGUGACGGCAAGCUAAUCUCUGAAAGCCGAUCUCAGUUCGGAUUGGAGGCUGCAACUCGCCUCCAUGAAGUCGGAAUCGCUAGUAAUCGCGGAUCAGCACGCCGCGGUGAAUACGUUCCCGGGCCUUGUACACACCGCCCGUCACACCACGAGAGUUUGUAACACCCGAAGUCGGUGAGGUANCCUUUUAGGG